CCUACACGAAGCUGGAAUCGCUAGUAAUCGCGGAUCAGCACGCCGCGGUGAAUACGUUCCCGGGCCUUGUACACACCGCCCGUCACACCAUGAGAGUCUGUAACACCCAAAGCCGGUGGGAUAACCUUUAUAGGAGUCAGCCGUCUAAGGUAGGACAGAUGAUUAGGGUGAAGUCGUAACAAGGUAAC
This 188-nucleotide ribosomal RNA is filed under the name uncultured bacterium. RNAcentral's name for it is "partial 16S ribosomal RNA". It matches the Rfam family "Bacterial small subunit ribosomal RNA", at positions 1315 to 1500 of the family's 1533-position model. The record is from RNAcentral.